RNAcentral lists this small nucleolar RNA (135 nucleotides) under Oryzias melastigma (Indian medaka). Its description in RNAcentral is "Small nucleolar RNA SNORA13 (ENSOMEG00000008144.1)". The record is from RNAcentral. Lineage: Eukaryota; Metazoa; Chordata; Actinopteri; Beloniformes; Adrianichthyidae.
UGCCUUUGUGUUGCCCUUUCAUGAUGUCUCUACAUGAACAGGGUGUCGAUUAAGGCAUUACAGUGACUCUUGCAGUUGUGAUAGAAAUAAAUCUUCAUUGAUCUGUUUCUGCACAAAACGACUGCAAGCACACAA